GUACCCCGAGGAAAAGAAAUCAACCGAGAUUCCGAAAGUAGCGGCGAGCGAAAUUGGACUAGCCCUUAAGCUUUACACGCGUUAGACGAACGGUCUGGAAAGUCCGACGAUACAGGGUGAUAGUCCCGUAGUUGACGACGUGUGUUCAGUGAAAUCGAGUAGGGCGGGACACGUGAUAUCCUGUCUGAAUAUGGGGGGACCAUCCUCCAAGGCUAAAUACUACUGACUGACCGAUAGUGAACCAGUACCGUGAGGGAAAGGCGAAAAGAACCCCUGUGAG
Molecule: ribosomal RNA, 280 nt
Filed under: Vibrio parahaemolyticus
Lineage: Bacteria; Pseudomonadati; Pseudomonadota; Gammaproteobacteria; Vibrionales; Vibrionaceae
Description: partial 23S ribosomal RNA
Rfam family: Bacterial large subunit ribosomal RNA
Source: RNAcentral